This 460-nucleotide ribosomal RNA is filed under the name uncultured bacterium. RNAcentral's name for it is "partial 16S ribosomal RNA". It matches the Rfam family "Bacterial small subunit ribosomal RNA", at positions 338 to 795 of the family's 1533-position model. The record is from RNAcentral.
CCUACGGGUGGCAGCAGUGAGGAAUAUUGGUCAAUGGGCGAGAGCCUGAACCAGCCAAGUCGCGUGAGGGAAGACGGUCCUAUGGAUUGUAAACCUCUUUUGUCGGGGAGCAAAAAGGCCUCGUGAGGCCACAAGUGAGAGUACCCGAAGAAAAAGCAUCGGCUAACUCCGUGCCAGCAGCCGCGGUAAUACGGAGGAUGCGAGCGUUAUCCGGAUUUAUUGGGUUUAAAGGGUGCGCAGGCGGGAGAUCAAGUCAGCGGUAAAAUGUCGGGGCUCAACCCCGGCCGGCCGUUGAAACUGGGUUUCUAGAGUUGGAGAGAAGUAUGCGGAAUUCGUGGUGUAGCGGUGAAAUGCAUAGAUAUCACGAAGAACUCCGAUUGCGAAGGCAGCAUACCGGCUCCAUACUGACGCUGAGGCACGAAAGCGUGGGGAUCGAACAGGAUUAGAUACCCGUGUAGUC